This 3228-nucleotide ribosomal RNA is filed under the name Christensenellaceae bacterium OttesenSCG-928-K19. RNAcentral describes it as "23S ribosomal RNA". It matches the Rfam family "Bacterial large subunit ribosomal RNA". The record is from RNAcentral. Lineage: Bacteria; Bacillati; Bacillota; Clostridia; Christensenellales; Christensenellaceae.
GAUCAAGCUAAAAAGAGCACAGGGCGAAUGCCUUGGCAUCAAGAACCGAUGAAGGACGUGUCAAGCUGCGAUAAGCUGCGGGUAGCUGCAAGCAAGCAUUAAACCGCAGAUUUCCGAAUGAGGGAACUCAGCAUCUUUAACAGGAUGUUACCAUAUACUGAAUUCAUAGGUAUAUGGGGGGAACCCGGUGAACUGAAACAUCUAAGUAGCCGGAGGAAAAGAAAGCAAAAGCGAUUCUCCUAGUAGCGGCGAGCGAACGGGGAAGAGGCCAAACCGGAAGUCUUCGGACGGCCGGGGUUGUGGACCAUCAUACGUGAUCACAUAAGCAUAGCUGAAUAGUUUUGGAAAAUCCAGCCAAAGAACGUAAAAGCCGUGUAAGCGAAAUGCGAGUGUGCACAGAUGGCACCAGAGUACCACGGGGCACGUGAAACCCAGUGGGAAGCCGGGAGGACCACCUUCCAAGCCUAAAUAUUCCUUGAUGACCGAUAGCGAAAUAGUACCGUGAGGGAAAGGUGAAAAGUACCCCGGGAGGGGAGUGAAAGAGUACCUGAAACCCUGUGCUUACAAGCAGUGGAAGGACUAUUAGAAAGUCUGACCAUGUACUUUUUGUAGAACGGGCCAGCGAGUUAUGGUAUGUAGCGAGGUUAAGUGCUUCAGGCACGGAGCCGCAGGGAAACCGAGUCUUAAUAGGGCGAAUGAGUUGCAUGCUGUAGACCCGAAACCGGGCGACCUAUCCAUGGGCAGGUUGAAGCGACGGUAAGACGUCGUGGAGGACCGAACCACACGUAUGUUGAAAAAUGCGGGGAUGACCUGUGGAUAGCGGAGAAAUUCCAAUCGAGCUCGGAGAUAGCUGGUUCUCCUCGAAAUAGCUUUAGGGCUAGCGUCAGGUGAAGAUAUAUGGGGGUAGAGCACUGAAUGGGCUAGGGGGCUUCACGGCUUACCGAACCUUAUCAAACUCCGAAUACCAUAUAUUACCUACCUGGCAGUCAGACAGUGGGAGAUAAGUUUCAUUGUCAAAAGGGAAAGAGCCCAGAUCAUCAACUAAGGCCCCCAAGUGCAAGUUAAGUGGGAAAGGAUGUGGGACUGCGAAGACAACUAGGAUGUUGGCUCAGAAGCAGCCAUUCAUUUAAAGAGUGCGUAACAGCUCACUAGUCGAGUGGUCGUGCGCCGAAAAUGUCCGGGGCUAAAACUUGCCGCCGAAGUUAUGGGUGUAUCGUGAAUUACUGAUGUAUUUCCAAAAGACGCAACAAGCAAAACAGCAAAACCGCAGCAAUGAUAGAACAUGCCAAAAGGCAGGUAAAGGCUGUAGUAUUCCCUGGGGUCAAUGAAUCCCUGGCGGGCUGGAACUCUCAAAAACGCGGUAGGCCUGCGAAGCAGGCAGCGCGUAGCGGGAAUUGCGAAACCCGAUGGGAGGAUAUUUGCAAGCAAACCAACCAAAGCACAUAUCAAUUGUAUGGUUUGCGUCCAAAUCUUUAGGAUAAAACUUGGAGCGUCAAGAGUAAGGGAGAUAUAUGAGUAAUUCACGAUACGCGGUAGAGGAGCGUCGCAACAGGGCUGAAGCCAUACCGUGAGGAGUGGUGGACUGGUUGCGAGUGAGAAUGCUGGCAUGAGUAGCGAGAGUGAUGUGAGAAUCAUCACCGUCGAAAGUCUAAGGUUUCCUGGGGAAGGCUCGUCCUCCCAGGGUAAGUCGGGACCUAAGCCGAGGACCGUAUAAGUCGUAGGCGAUGGACAACAGGUUGAUAUUCCUGUACCACCGAUGAUGCGUUUGACUGAUGCAGUGACACAGGAGGAUAGUGAGAGCGGGUUGAUGGUAGAGCCCGUCCAAGCACUAAGGCUUGAGUGGUAGUGAAGUACGCCGCUCUUUAAGGCUGAGGUGUGAUGGGGACAGAAAAUAAGUAUGGAAGCUCACGAAUCCACACUGGCGAGAAAAGCUGCUAGGAAGUGUCAUAGGUGCCCGUACCGCAAACCGACACAGGUAGACGAGGAGAGAAUCCUAAGACGAUCGGGAGAAACAUUGUUAAGGAACUCGGCAAAAUGACUCCGUAACUUCGGGAGAAGGAGUGCCAGCUUCGGCUGGCCGCAGCGAAUAGGCCCAAGCGACUGUUUAGCAAAAACACAGGUCUGUGCUAAAUCGAGAGAUGAAGUAUACGGGCUGACGCCUGCCCAGUGCUGGAAGGUUAAGGGGAACUGUUAGCUUUAAGCGAAGCAGAGAACUUAAGCCCCAGUGAACGGCGGCCGUAACUAUAACGGUCCUAAGGUAGCGAAAUUCCUUGUCAGGUAAGUUCUGACCCGCACGAAUGGCGUAACGAUUUGGGCGCUGUCUCAACAAUGUACCCGGCGAAAUUGUAGUAUGAGUGAAGAUGCUCAUUACCCGCGAUAGGACGGAAAGACCCCGUAGAGCUUUACUGUAACUUGGCAUUGGAUUUCGGUAUUGGAUGUACAGGAUAGGUGGGAGACUUGGAAGCGCAGACGUCAGUAGGCGUGGAGUCAUCCUUGGGAUACCACCCUUCCAAUACUGGGGUUCUAACCAUAGGCCGUUAUCCGGCUAUGGGACAGUACCAGGUGGACAGUUUGACUGGGGCGGUCGCCUCCGAAAGAGUAACGGAGGCGCCCAAAGGUUUCCUCAGAAUGGUCGGAAAUCAUUCAUUAGAGUGCAAAUGCAUAAGGGAGCUUGACUGCGAGAGGGACACCUCGAGCAGGGACGAAAGUCGGGAUUAGUGAUCCGGCGGUAUGAGAGUGGAAUUGCCGUCGCUCAACGGAUAAAAGCUACCUCGGGGAUAACAGGCUUAUCUCCCCCAAGAGUCCACAUCGACGGGGAGGUUUGGCACCUCGAUGUCGGCUCGUCGCAUCCUGGGGCUGAAGCAGGUCCCAAGGGUUUGGCUGUUCGCCAAUUAAAGCGGCACGCGAGCUGGGUUCAGAACGUCGUGAGACAGUUCGGUCCCUAUCCAUCGUGGGCGCAGGAAAUUUGAGAGGAGCUGUCCUUAGUACGAGAGGACCGGGAUGGACGUACCAAUGGUGUACCAGUUGUUCUGCCAAGGGCAUGGCUGGGUAGCUACGUACGGACGGGAUAAGCGCUGAAGGCAUCUAAGCGCGAAGCCCCCCCCAAGAUAAGAUUUCCCAUCCUUUAUGGAGUAAGACCCCUUAGAGAUUAUGAGGUUGAUAGGCCGGAGGUGUAAGUGCAGCAAUGUAUUUAGCUGACCGGUACUAAUAGGUCGAGGGCUUGAUCAA